GGGGGUAUAGCUCAGGGGUAGAGCAUUUGACUGCAGAUCAAGAGGUCCCUGGUUCGAAUCCGGGUGCCCCCU
Molecule: non-coding RNA, 72 nt
Organism: Myotis brandtii (Brandt's bat)
Lineage: Eukaryota; Metazoa; Chordata; Mammalia; Chiroptera; Vespertilionidae
Source: Rfam